Molecule: ribosomal RNA, 1386 nt
Filed under: Staphylococcus aureus M0258
Lineage: Bacteria; Bacillati; Bacillota; Bacilli; Caryophanales; Staphylococcaceae
Description: bacterial LSU rRNA
Rfam family: Bacterial large subunit ribosomal RNA
Source: RNAcentral
CAAAUCCGGUACUCGUUAAGGCUGAGCUGUGAUGGGGAGAAGACAUUGAGUCUUCGAGUCGUUGAUUUCACACUGCCGAGAAAAGCCUCUAGAUAGAAAAUAGGUGCCCGUACCGCAAACCGACACAGGUAGUCAAGAUGAGAAUUCUAAGGUGAGCGAGCGAACUCUCGUUAAGGAACUCGGCAAAAUGACCCCGUAACUUCGGGAGAAGGGGUGCUCUUUAGGGUUAACGCCCAGAAGAGCCGCAGUGAAUAGGCCCAAGCGACUGUUUAUCAAAAACACAGGUCUCUGCUAAACCGUAAGGUGAUGUAUAGGGGCUGACGCCUGCCCGGUGCUGGAAGGUUAAGAGGAGUGGUUAGCUUCUGCGAAGCUACGAAUCGAAGCCCCAGUAAACGGCGGCCGUAACUAUAACGGUCCUAAGGUAGCGAAAUUCCUUGUCGGGUAAGUUCCGACCCGCACGAAAGGCGUAACGAUUUGGGCACUGUCUCAACGAGAGACUCGGUGAAAUCAUAGUACCUGUGAAGAUGCAGGUUACCCGCGACAGGACGGAAAGACCCCGUGGAGCUUUACUGUAGCCUGAUAUUGAAAUUCGGCACAGCUUGUACAGGAUAGGUAGGAGCCUUUGAAACGUGAGCGCUAGCUUACGUGGAGGCGCUGGUGGGAUACUACCCUAGCUGUGUUGGCUUUCUAACCCGCACCACUUAUCGUGGUGGGAGACAGUGUCAGGCGGGCAGUUUGACUGGGGCGGUCGCCUCCUAAAAGGUAACGGAGGCGCUCAAAGGUUCCCUCAGAAUGGUUGGAAAUCAUUCAUAGAGUGUAAAGGCAUAAGGGAGCUUGACUGCGAGACCUACAAGUCGAGCAGGGUCGAAAGACGGACUUAGUGAUCCGGUGGUUCCGCAUGGAAGGGCCAUCGCUCAACGGAUAAAAGCUACCCCGGGGAUAACAGGCUUAUCUCCCCCAAGAGUUCACAUCGACGGGGAGGUUUGGCACCUCGAUGUCGGCUCAUCGCAUCCUGGGGCUGUAGUCGGUCCCAAGGGUUGGGCUGUUCGCCCAUUAAAGCGGUACGCGAGCUGGGUUCAGAACGUCGUGAGACAGUUCGGUCCCUAUCCGUCGUGGGCGUAGGAAAUUUGAGAGGAGCUGUCCUUAGUACGAGAGGACCGGGAUGGACAUACCUCUGGUGUACCAGUUGUCGUGCCAACGGCAUAGCUGGGUAGCUAUGUGUGGACGGGAUAAGUGCUGAAAGCAUCUAAGCAUGAAGCCCCCCUCAAGAUGAGAUUUCCCAACUUCGGUUAUAAGAUCCCUCAAAGAUGAUGAGGUUAAUAGGUUCGAGGUGGAAGCAUGGUGACAUGUGGAGCUGACGAAUACUAAUCGAUCGAAGACUUAAUC